This 1404-nucleotide ribosomal RNA is filed under the name Italian Empoasca phytoplasma 2. Its description in RNAcentral is "16S ribosomal RNA". It matches the Rfam family "Bacterial small subunit ribosomal RNA". Lineage: Bacteria; Bacillati; Mycoplasmatota; Mollicutes; Acholeplasmatales; Acholeplasmataceae. The record is from RNAcentral.
AGACGAGGAUAACAGUUGGAAACGACUGCUAAGACUGGAUAGGAGACAAGAAGGCAUCUUCUUGUUUUUAAAAGACCUAGCAAUAGGUAUGCUUAGGGAGGAGCUUGCGUCACAUUAGUUAGUUGGUGGGGUAAAGGCCUACCAAGACUAUGAUGUGUAGCCGGGCUGAGAGGUUGAACGGCCACAUUGGGACUGAGACACGGCCCAAACUCCUACGGGAGGCAGCAGUAGGGAAUUUUCGGCAAUGGAGGAAACUCUGACCGAGCAACGCCGCGUGAACGAUGAAGUAUUUCGGUACGUAAAGUUCUUUUAUUAGGGAAGAAUAAAUGAUGGAAAAAUCAUUCUGACGGUACCUAAUGAAUAAGCCCCGGCUAACUAUGUGCCAGCAGCCGCGGUAAUACAUAGGGGGCAAGCGUUAUCCGGAAUUAUUGGGCGUAAAGGGUGCGUAGGCGGUUAAAUAAGUUUAUGGUCUAAGUGCAAUGCUCAACAUUGUGAUGCUAUAAAAACUGUUUAGCUAGAGUAAGAUAGAGGCAAGUGGAAUUCCAUGUGUAGUGGUAAAAUGCGUAAAUAUAUGGAGGAACACCAGUAGCGAAGGCGGCUUGCUGGGUCUUUACUGACGCUGAGGCACGAAAGCGUGGGGAGCAAACAGGAUUAGAUACCCUGGUAGUCCACGCCGUAAACGAUGAGUACUAAACGUUGGGUAAAACCAGUGUUGAAGUUAACACAUUAAGUACUCCGCCUGAGUAGUACGUACGCAAGUAUGAAACUUAAAGGAAUUGACGGGACUCCGCACAAGCGGUGGAUCAUGUUGUUUAAUUCGAAGGUACCCGAAAAACCUCACCAGGUCUUGACAUGCUUCUGCAAAGCUGUAGAAACACAGUGGAGGUUAUCAGUUGCACAGGUGGUGCAUGGUUGUCGUCAGCUCGUGUCGUGAGAUGUUGGGUUAAGUCCCGCAACGAGCGCAACCCUUAUUGUUAGUUACCAGCACGUAAUGGUGGGGACUUUAGCAAGACUGCCAGUGAUAAAUUGGAGGAAGGUGGGGACGACGUCAAAUCAUCAUGCCCCUCAUGACCUGGGCUACAAACGUGAUACAAUGGCUGUUACAAAGGGUAGCUGAAGCGCAAGUUUUUGGCGAAUCUCAAAAAAACAGUCUCAGUUCGGAUUGAAGUCUGCAACUCGACUUCAUGAAGUUGGAAUCGCUAGUAAUCGCGAAUCAGCAUGUCGCGGUGAAUACGUUCUCGGGGUUUGUACACACCGCCCGUCAAACCACGAAAGUUGGUAAUACCCAAAGCCGGUGGCCUAACUUCGCAAGAAGAGGGAACCGUCUAAGGUAGGGUCGAUGAUUGGGGUUAAGUCGUAACAAGGUAUCCCUACCGGAAGGUGGGGAUGGAUCACCUCCUUUCU